CCUCUUUUUAAAAUUAUUGUUGUUAUUAUUACUAUUAUUAUUAUUAGACCAGGGGGGUCCCCCUCCCUGGGUGCCUGGGGAGAGAAAGGAGCAUCAUAACAGGCAGUUGGACAUGGAGGAUGGAUCUGGGGGGCUGGAAGGAGCCCAUCAAAAAGAAACCAAUCCAAAAGGAUCCUGUUUUCCACACUUUAGUGAAACACACCACUAAGUCUCACAAGUCAAUGGAUGUGGAGGAAUGACUGUUCCUAUUAUACUUGGACAAGCUGGGCGCAGUCAGCUUGGAAGAAGCACUAGGAAAAGUUGACCUUUCCUACAGAGCAGCACAAGUGGCGCUCUGGCACAUAUUUGUGAGCGCAAAGACCACCUGCGUUCGCCCUCCAAGAACACCUUCAUGCCAGCUCAACAGUACCAGAAAAGUGCAAAGUAUCAGCUGCUCUGGAAACCAAGUUAUGAGAAGGAAUGGCCGCGUACUUAAAGCAUGCACCUGGAAGCUAAGAGAUGAGAGACCUAUUCCUUACUCUGCAACCAACUCCAGCUGUGACCUUGGCUAAUUACUUACAUGCUUGUCAGGCUGCAGUUUUCCCCAAAAUGACAAGGAUUCUUUCUUUUUAUUUACUAUAAUUUCUUGUAUAACAGUGAAAGCAAGGGUAGAUUUGUACCCAGUAAAUGAAUCGAAGUAGAUAUAGAUAUAGGUA
Molecule: long non-coding RNA, 695 nt
Filed under: Crocodylus porosus (Australian saltwater crocodile)
Lineage: Eukaryota; Metazoa; Chordata; Crocodylia; Crocodylidae
Description: lncRNA (ENSCPRG00005002951.1)
Source: RNAcentral